RNAcentral lists this unclassified non-coding RNA (336 nucleotides) under soil metagenome. RNAcentral describes it as "partial contains 5.8S ribosomal RNA, internal transcribed spacer 2, and large subunit ribosomal RNA". The stretch from base 1 to 119 matches the Rfam family "5.8S ribosomal RNA", at positions 35 to 154 of the family's 154-position model. The record is from RNAcentral.
GAUGAAAACGUAGCGAAAUGCGAUAAGUAAUGUGAAUUGCAGAAUUCAGUGAAUCAUCGAAUCUUUGAACGCACAUUGCGCCCGCCAGCAUUCUGGCGGGCAUGCCUGUUCGAGCGUCAUUUCAACCCUCAAGCUCUGCUUGGUGUUGGGGCCCUACGGUUGACGUAGGCCCUUAAAGGUAGUGGCGGACCCUCUCGGAGCCUCCUUUGCGUAGUAACUAACGUCUCGCACUGGGAUUCGGAGGGACUCUUGCCGUAAAACCCCCAAAUUUUUAAAGGUUGACCUCGGAUCAGGUAGGAAUACCCGCUGAACUUAAGCAUAUCAAUAAGCGGAGGA